GGUGGCUCUAGCAUUCAUUUUCCUAUUUAGGUACGUACAAAGGUUGCUUCAACUAAAAGUCAUUGAUUAAAUUGUUGACUUUAUGGACUUUACCACCAAAAUUUAUUUUAGAAUCUUUCAUGGGUUUUGGUUAGGUCCCUAUGUUGUUAACUUCUCUUUUUUAUCUUGUAAAAAAAAAAUCUUCUCUUAUUAAGAAAAGGAAAUUUAGUAAAGAAACAAAUGUCUAGCUGGAUUGAACUUUCAGAUAGAAAGCUACUUCUUAUCAACCUUAUCUUAUAUGUAUUUUUCUAAAAAAUAGUCGCCUAUCAGCAUUUCACUAACAUUUAUUUUUCAGUACAAAAUUCCUCUUUUAUUAAUAAUAAUGCCGCUGUCGUAUUUAACUUUCUCAAUAUGUUUUGAAAUGUCAAGGAAUUAAACAUAGAAAUGACUUUAGGAUAUCAGAUAAGAAGCCUUAUUUUUAUCCCUGUGGCGGUGCUAAAAUAAAAAUCAGGUGGUUCACUAAAAUAAACUAUAAUUUAUAAACAUAAAAUUAAAGUUUAAUAAACAUUAUGCAAAGUGACGAAGUUUAACUAAAAAGUGAUAAGGGAUCAAAUAGAAGGGACUAAAAUGAGA
RNAcentral lists this long non-coding RNA (612 nucleotides) under Medicago truncatula (barrel medic). RNAcentral's name for it is "lncRNA gene44837". The record is from RNAcentral. Lineage: Eukaryota; Viridiplantae; Streptophyta; Magnoliopsida; Fabales; Fabaceae.